RNAcentral lists this ribosomal RNA (390 nucleotides) under Bacteroidetes bacterium '13.5 MW-16'. RNAcentral describes it as "bacterial SSU rRNA". It matches the Rfam family "Bacterial small subunit ribosomal RNA", at positions 71 to 461 of the family's 1533-position model. The record is from RNAcentral. Lineage: Bacteria; Pseudomonadati; Bacteroidota.
AAGAGUUUCUACAACCUAGCAGCGGCUGCACUGGGUGCGUAACGCGUAUGCAACCUACCUUAUACUGGGGGAUAGCCCGGAGAAAUCUGGAUUAAUACCCCAUGGCACAUAUUGAUGGCAUCUGAGAUAUGUUAAAGAUUUAUUGGUAUAAGAUGGGCAUGCGUCUGAUUAGCUAGUUGGCGGUGUAACGGACCACCAAGGCGACGAUCAGUAGGGGUUCUGAGAGGAAGGUCCCCCACACUGGCACUGAGAUACGGGCCAGACUCCUACGGGAGGCAGCAGUAGGGAAUAUUGGGCAAUGGUCGGAAGACUGACCCAGCCAUGCCGCGUGCAGGAAGAAGGCCCUCUGGGUUGUAAACUGCUUUUAUCUGGGAAGAAAAAGGCCUGNCG